This 164-nucleotide microRNA precursor is filed under the name Oryza sativa Indica Group (long-grained rice). RNAcentral's name for it is "osa-MIR819j". The record is from RNAcentral. Lineage: Eukaryota; Viridiplantae; Streptophyta; Magnoliopsida; Poales; Poaceae.
UAUACUACCUCCGUUUCAGGUUAUAAGACUUUCUAGCAUUGCCCACAUUCAUAUAGAUGUUAAUGAAUCUAGGCACACAUAUAUGUAUAGAUUCAUUAACAUAUAUAUGAAUGUGGGCAAUGCUAGAAAGUCUUAUAAUAUAAAACGGAGGAAGUAGUGAUUUA